Molecule: ribosomal RNA, 467 nt
Filed under: uncultured bacterium
Lineage: Bacteria
Description: partial 16S ribosomal RNA
Rfam family: Bacterial small subunit ribosomal RNA
Source: RNAcentral
ACGCACGCUGGCGGCGUGCUUAACACAUGCCAGUCGAACGCAAAGGCCCUGCUUUUGUGGGGUGCUCGAGUGGCGAACGGGUGAGUAACACGUGAGUAACCUGCCCUUGACUUUGGGAUAACUUCAGGAAACUGGGGCUAAUACCGGAUAGGAGCUCCUGCUGCAUGGUGGGGGUUGGAAAGUUUCGGCGGUUGGGGAUGGACUCGCGGCUUAUCAGCUUGUUGGUGGGGUAGUGGCUUACCAAGGCUUUGACGGGUAGCCGGCCUGAGAGGGUGACCGGCCACAUUGGGACUGAGAUACGGCCCAGACUCCUACGGGAGGCAGCAGUGGGGAAUAUUGCACAAUGGGCGGAAGCCUGAUGCAGCAACGCCGCGUGCGGGAUGACGGCCUUCGGGUUGUAAACCGCUUUCGCCUGUGACGAAGCGUGAGUGACGGUAAUGGGUAAAGAAGCACCGGCUAACUACGUG